This 385-nucleotide ribosomal RNA is filed under the name uncultured bacterium. Its description in RNAcentral is "bacterial SSU rRNA". It matches the Rfam family "Bacterial small subunit ribosomal RNA", at positions 29 to 416 of the family's 1533-position model. The record is from RNAcentral.
AUUGAACGCUGGCGGCAUGCUUUACACAUGCAAGUCGAACGGCAGCGCGGGGGCAACCCUGGCGGCGAGUGGCGAACGGGUGAGUAAUGCAUCGGUACGUAUCCUGUAAUGGGGGAUAACGUAGCGAAAGUUACGCUAAUACCGCAUACGCUCGAGAGAGGAAAGUGGGGAUCGCAAAGACCUCACGUUAUAGGAGCGGCCGAUGUCCGAUUAGCUAGUUGGUGGGUAAAGGCCUACCAAGGCGACGAUCGGUAGCUGGUCUGAGAGGAUGAUCAGCCACACUGGGACUGAGACACGGCCCAGACUCCUACGGGAGGCAGCAGUGGGGAAUUUUGGACAAUGGGCGAAAGCCUGAUCCAGCCAUGCCGCGUGCGGGAAGAAGGCU